This is a non-coding RNA of Anas platyrhynchos (mallard), 4078 nucleotides long. Lineage: Eukaryota; Metazoa; Chordata; Aves; Anseriformes; Anatidae. The record is from RefSeq and is a predicted model, not a curated record.
GAGAAGGAGGAGGAGGAGGCGCGCCUUCCCCUUCCCCUGCCCUUCCCCGUCAGACCCCGUCCGUUCACCCGAGCCGGUUCCCUCCGGGUCCGUGCCCGUUAAGCCAAAUCACAAGCGUGUACCUUGCGUGAGGGCAGACCGCGGGCCCUGGAGUGGAUCUGGAAUUUGAUCUCUGCUCCCUGUAAUCUCCUGUAACUGAAAAUUUAGUUUUUCCGGCUGCUAACUGCUUUCUCUUUUGCAUUCCCAUUCUCCUCCAGCUAGCUCCUCUCUGCGCUGCGGGUAGUUGCUUUGGUCACCUCACGUCAGUUUGCAUCCUACUGUGACAGGAGUAAAUGCUUUUCUGAAAAGAUUCUUAGCAGUAACGGAGUUUUACUUGAAGGAAAUCAGGAGUUUAAACUGCAAUCAGUGGAGUUUUAUACGGAAAUAAUAAGUGAUGGUGGAAGACUAUUCCCUUGGUAUGAUUCCAGACUCUCUUUGGAGAUCGCCCUACAGUAUUGUUAUACUGCAUUUUAGCAUGCUGUGCCUUGGAUCCAGCAAAAGUGAUAGGACUAGGCAUAAUGCAGAUUUUUUGUAGAUAACUAUUGAGCGGGUCAAAACAAGAACCCUUUUAACUAAAAAUGAUCCUCCUUUUCCUGAACCUUGAAGCUCAGAUAAAAAGAGAUCAAAAUCCAAAUCAUGCCUGCUUUAAAUUCUGUAAAGCCAAGAUCACACCAGGCUGCCUACCUCUAAUUAUAAUGGUUUAUUCAUUAUCUUUGGUCUUUCCCCAACUCUCAACUUCUCCGAUUUCUUUCUGUCUUGAAGAGAAUAAGUUUUCUCUGGGAUUGUCUGGUUCUUCUGUAAUAGGAUAUUGUCUUCAUGUUAUAGUCCAUUCUGAUCAGGUGGAUCUAAAUUUUGUAUCACACACAGAUUUCAGACAAAAGAAUGUAGUAAUAAAGAGCUCAAGCAUAUACUGCUAUCCAUCAGAUCUUCUAAUACAUCAGAAAUUUAUUUCUGAAGGAAUCAUUUUAAAGCAACAAAAAGUUUGUGGUCAUUUUAAGUUUCUAUUAAAAACACCAUUUUAUCCUAAUUUGUUGUGUGAUUAAGUUAAGAGAGAUUUAUGAAUCUAAGUCAUUAAACUUUCAAAACUGAGAUUUCUACAGUUGAACUUGUUUAGACAUCUUAAAUUAGUAGCUGAUGCAACCAAGAUUUACAGUUGUGCUAAUAUAAGAUGGGAAGAGGGUGGCUGGUCUUGUGGUUAAAGCAUGGGACUAGCUGCUGAGAGGUCUAUGUUCUAUUCCUGGUUGUGUCACUGACUUCCUGUGGGUCACUGGCUAAGUCACUUAGCUGUGGCUCAUUUUGCUCAUAUAUAAAAUGUGAAUAAUACUUUUAUUACUAAAGUAAGUCAUUAGUAUUUAUACAAUUGUUUGUUCUCAUUAAUGGACUUGGUAUAUAACUGUUUCAGCAGAUCAAACCCCGUAUUUCUAAUGUUCAUGUAGUUUGCUACGUCUUCUCACACAGCAGUUCAUUGAUUCCAAUAAAGACAACUGAAAACUCCUAAGUCCAAAAUGUAACUUAAAGCAUCUAGAGAACAUUGCUUCCAGGUUCAAACUGAACAUUUGUUCAGGAAGAGAAUUUAAUAAUCUCUUUAAGAGUGUGAGAAAGUUAGUUUUUGUGAUAUUUACUCCCUCAUAAUUGUUAAAAAAGAAUUAACUCUCCCCCUCCUAUUGUUUCUUUUGGAGGAUUGUGUGAAGAUCGCUUGGCACUUCCAUUUCCUAUGACCUUUGUCCUGUUUUAUAGUUUUUAUACAUUGUUGUGAUGGAAUUAAUUUGAAAUACUAUUUUUAAAAUCCCUGCUUUUUACAUAUUUUACCCCAGUCUCCAGGGUGCUCCAGAUAGAUGUCAGAAAUACUGUCGCUCAACUAAAUGAGGAUUCUGUAGAAAAACAGUAUACACUGCAACUGCCAAAUCCCAGUGAAAGUCAUUGAAUCAAGAGCAUCUCCCAGUAUACUGUCCAGACUUAAGGAUUAGUUUCUCAACAUUUCAGUCACUGUGGGAUAGAUCUCACAGUGAUGUUACCACAACUUUGAUUUCCAUUAUUGAGAGAAACGCUAGAGGAUUUUAAAUUGAGGAGAAUUGAGAUGAUCUGUCUUUUUCAAAUGGCUGGUAGAUCAGGUUUAUAUACUUGCAUACUUACAAACAUAGGGCAGAUGUACAUCAUAAAGUCUAAAAAAGAAUUAGAUGUUCAGACAAUUAUAGAGAGUUAAUUAUCUUAAAUUAAAUAUCUUCAUUAGUCUUUGCAGUAAUAGGUUGCAUAUCUUCCAAUAACAAAACCAAAGGCUAAAAAGCAGGGUUAUUUUGUCCUUUUAGUUAAUAUAUAUUAAUAUAGUGUUAAGCAUCCUAAAAUUAUACAACUUUAUUAAUGUUAUUUCUGAAAGAAUCACCAGAAGGAGUAGCAAACCAAAAAAAUGUAAUCACACUUUUCUUGCAUCUCACAAAAUGUAUUGCAAGGGCUUUUUUCUUAUUUCAUGAAAGUUGUGACCACCUUGGUAUACUCCAACAAAAUAAGCUCACACACAACUCUGACUGCUAACUUUUACACAUGGAUUCACAAUCAGUGUGAGACUCCUGACAGUAGCAUAGUGAAGAAAUACAUAAAUAUUUAUAGUACUAGGGCAUAAUAUUUUUCUAACGUUAUUUUGUGUAAAUGUGUACAAAUGGUAAACUCAAAGGCCUCAGAUGACAGUUAGUUUCUACUACAUAAAUGGUAUCUGCUUGCUCUCUGAUUAAAUCACGAAUCAACCCAAAAAUGUGCUGCCAGCAUUCAUGAAAUUUUGCUAGGUAGAGAAGCAGUACCUUUAAUUCUUAUUGAUCUUUGAAAUAGCUAUUGUAUUAAGGUCAUUGAUGUUUCACUCAUGCAAAUUGUUCCAUUGGUUUGUCAGCAGCUUUUCUGAAUUGACUCCUAUUAGGCUUUUUAAUAAAUCAUUAUUUUCAUUUAAGAUCUUAAGAAUCUUUAAAAAAUAAAAUUAAUAAUUGGUUUUUAGUCUGUGCUAACCGUUAGAGAAUGCCAGGUAACUUUAGCAGUGAAUCAGGGGCUAUUUUGGGAGAAAAAUAUUAUAAUAAUUUGCAGGAAAUAACCUUUUUGUUCCAAAACAGCUGUCAUUGAACACUAUUAUAUCUACAACAAUUAAAAUUAUCUUUGGUAACUUUUAGUGUUUGGCAUUGCUCCAUUAUUGUUCAGUUAAAUAUUUUUCAAGUAUGUUAGGACUUCUGCCCACUGUGUUCUUGAAACCCUUCAUUAUCAAUACAGAAGUUCUUUCUCAGUUUUGUCAUAUUGUAAUCUCUCUCAUGGAAUGACAUUCUGUAUCAUCUGUGAAGAUUAUUUGUCAUUUUAUAGAAGGCUACAGGCCUUUUACUGAGGACUGAUGACUUGACGUUUGUAGGAUAGAAUUUGCUUUUUAAUAUUAAGUGUUGAAUGCCAAAAAAUAAUAAUAAUAGUAAAAAAGAAUGUACUAGUUAACAUGUAAUGUGAGUUAGGAAACAUGUGCAAACAUCCUGGUGAAUUUAAAUAGCUGGUUGGAUCAGAAAUGGAGGAAAAAUAACAUUGGGUCAGGAACAAAACACAAAGCAGCCAGAAACCUUGUAUUUCUAAUUUAGGAUAUAAAUACUCACUGCUAAAAAUUCUUUGUUACAAAAUUUAAUUGAUUAAAAAAGGGAAUGUUUUAGGGAGUGUUGUUGGUUGGUGGCUUUAAUAUGUGUCAAAUACUAAUUAAAACUAUUUCCACACUACUGGAACUUGUCAUUCACUACAACUGAAGUUGGUUGAUAUAUAACCUUUCCUGUGACUUGUUUUUCAGAAUGAAAUUUUUAUUAUUUAUAUUGUAAUGAUCUUUGAGUACUCAGUAUUAGCAGAGCAAAAGUAAAAUAGUAUGCUGUUUAAAGAGUCCAUCAUAUAUAUGUAACAAAUGGUAAUAUGUUACUGAUAGCACGUUGACACGUACGGUAUGCUUACUUGUAUUUGCAUCAGUAUAAAUUAAUAUACAAGUGUCUCUUCAAUGUGACAUGUAUGUAUCAGAUGCCAUUAAAGUACUUUCUUUAUGCAA